RNAcentral lists this long non-coding RNA (30619 nucleotides) under Vitis vinifera (wine grape). RNAcentral describes it as "long non-coding RNA (VVIN_LNC004086)". The record is from RNAcentral. Lineage: Eukaryota; Viridiplantae; Streptophyta; Magnoliopsida; Vitales; Vitaceae.
CCGCAAGAAGGAAGCAAUGGCAGCCGCCGCGCCACCUCCUCCACCAACUCCAACGCCCACCCCACCCACAACAUUGCCUGAGACUGGCCCCGUCGGAAAUCCAAUCUUCGCCAGAAUCCGAAUCGCUAACCCAUCCGAUGUUCGCCCCCUCCACAAGCUCAUGUACCAGCUCGCCGUCUUCGAGCGCCUCCCCCACCUUUUCUCCGCCACUGAGUCCUCCCUUUCAUCCAACCUCUUCAACACUCCUCCUUUCCAAUCCUUCACCGUCUUCCUCCUUGAAGUCUCCCCCACACCCUUCCCUGACGCCCCUGUCGGCGCCCAUCCUCCGAUCACCCACGUCAUCAAUCUAGAUCUCCCCAUCGCAGACCCUGAAUCGCAAGAAUUCGGAUCGGGCGGCGACGCCGUGGUGGCAGGGUUCGUGCUGUUUUUCCCAAAUUAUUCGACGUUCUUGGGGAAGCCAGGGUUCUAUAUAGAGGAUUUGUAUGUCAGGGAUUGCUACAGGAGGAAAGGGUUUGGGAAGAUGUUGUUGUCUGCGGUGGCAGCUCAGGCGGUGAAAAUGGGGUAUGGGAGAGUGGAGUGGUGCGUGCUUGAUUGGAAUGUGAAUGCGAUUAAGUUCUACGAAGAGAUGGGUGCUCAGGUUCUUCAGGAAUGGAGGAUCUGUAGGCUGACUGGUGAUGCUCUUCAAGCUUAUGGAAAUUGAGGUCAGGGUUUUAUGUUUGCAGAUGAGGGUUUCGGAAUGGUAAGCCAUGCCCUUCCUUUUAUGUUGUAAUUCCAGCAGUGCUUUUAUAAGAAUUUCUGGAAUAUUGCUACUUGGUGCCCUGCUCAACGGAGAUUUGUGGCGUUGUAAUUUCUGCUAUCCUUUUUCUUUUACUUUUUAGUAGGGCAUUGACAUUUGCUGCUGUUUUUCUUUCUUGUAUGAUUUAUCUCAAAAAGACAUUUUAAACAUUUAGGAUGUGUAUGAUCAGUCAUCAUCUCCCUGCCCAAUUUGAUCCAAUUUGAAACAAUGAUAUGACUAUCAAAAUAUAGUGAUCCUUCCAAAGGGUUUGCUGUGGCUAAAUGCAUUUGAGGUUGCAACACUUCAAAAUAAUCAACGAAUGUAAUUCUGCAUCUUCAAAAUCAUUUGUUAGUUUUUUUAGCUAAAUAGGUUGUUUGUUUUAUUUGUAUUUUAUUUCUAUUAAGUAUUAAAAAAUAAAAAAAAACCAAUAUGUUAUUUUUUCUAUUUAGAAAAAAUUACAUAUUUUGGUUUUUUCUAUUUUACUUUCGAGUUAUGAAAAAGUAGAAAAACAAACAAUUUAAAUUCUAAAAACAAAUUGAUUUCAGCAAAAAGCCCAAAAAAUAAACAUCACCAAAGUUAGCAAGUAAGACGUAUUAGAAAAACGGUACACAGCUCCUCAUGGCUUGCAUGUAUUCUUGUAGCAGUAAUAUCAAGAGUAUGGAUUUACUAAAGGAUGUUGCAUUGACAUCAUGUUAUUUUGCCACUAAGCAAGAGUUUUUAUUAAAAAAUGAUUACUCCUGUCCUACCGGUUCUAUGUUAUUUCUUGAAAUGAAUGUUACAUCAUUAUAUGAUCUUGGACGUGGAUGUGGGUAAGGACUUAGUUGUUGUGGUAGACAUAGAUUUCAAUAUUGUUGUGAUCCUAGUCAUUUUUUUUUUUUUUCAAAUUCUUAAAUAGGAAAGUCACAGUCACACUACUAGAAGUAAAAUAAUAGAAAGAUGAUAUAAAAAAGGAAAUGGUUUAUUACACUUUACCCUCAAUCUAUAUCAUGUUUUGUAUAUUACCCCCUUAAGUUUAAAAUCAAGCAAUGUAUUCUCUAUGCUUUAUAAUUGUAUGCAAUGUGUAUUUUCUAAGUCACAAUGUUACAUUUUUUUACGGAAUGACAUGUGCUCUCCAUGUUAUCGAGGGCAAAAUUAUCAUUUUUUUCUCAAUCUGCAGCCCUCCUCUCCCUCGUCAAUCAUUUCUUCCCCUAUUGUUGCUGGUGAAGCCCCAAACCAAAGCCCUUUUCCCCCUGUUCUUCCUUCCCUUCAAAGUUCUAAAAUCCCAAUCCCACAAAGUUGUUACCAAAAACCUCACGCAAUUUCUCUUUGUUCAUUGUUUCCUCGUUGUUUGUGGAAUGAAAAUUUGCAAAAUCCCCAAGUAAUUUCUUUAGUCUUAGAAUCUCCAAAUUUCCCCCAAAAUUUGCAACAAAAUUUUCUUAAAAUUUCCCCCACUUUUCUAAAACAUGAAACAAAACCCUAACCUUUAAUUUGGUCGAGUUUUAUUCUCUCAAAAUUUCCCCAAAUUUUUUGAAAUAUCAAAACGAAACUCUAACCUUAACCCUAACCCUCUUUUCCGACAUGCUUCUACCCAUUAAAGAAUUAGAAGUCGAAAAAUUAUCAUUGAACUCCGAGUCUUCUCUUCGAUGUCAGCCCUACAUUAGCUUCCUUAAGGGAGGAGGGCUUUGACUUGGGGCUUCAUCAAUAGCAACAAGGGAAGAAAUGAUUGAUGGGGGAGUGAAGGUUAAAAAUGGAAUGACCCCUUUGCCCUCACUUAUUAAAAAAAUUACCAUUUUGCCCUCAGUCGCGUAGAGAGCACAUGUAAUUUCGCCCAAAAAUGUAAUGUCAUGACUAAAAAAAUGCACAUUGCAUGUGAUUAUAAAGCAUACAGGGUACAUUGCUUGAUUUUGAACUCGAUGGGGCAAUAUGUAAAAUACAGUAUAGGUUGAGGAGUAAAGUGUAAUAAACCCAAAAGGCAAAAAAAUAAAAUUUCCAAGAUUCAUGAAUAUAAACGAUACAUAUGUGACACGAAAGGAUAUUGGGCGCAUGGUUAUUACUUAUCAAAAGAUUUAGUUGAGUUUGAUUAGGUUUCAAUGAAAACAAAAGGAAAAACAUAGUGAUGAAUUUCCUAGAUGGGAAUAAACCUAUAGAGAUAACCCACCUAGAUGUCUUGGCUUUUUUUGAAAACCUUAGUAGAAAAAGUGACCAUUUGAUUAGGGAUGAAAAUGCUUAUCCGAUUAGAUGUUAUGAUGACACAUUUGACAUGUUAUCUCUUUAUUUCAUUAUUUUUUAAAUAUUACAUAUUUAUAGUUUUAAGUUAUACAUAUGAUUUCUUUUCAUUAAUUAUUGUAUUCAUAUGAAAAAUAUGUAAAUCUUACUAACCGCUUAGGAGUUUGCGAAAUUAAUCUUGAUAAUGAAUGUCUUGUAAAUUGUGUAAAACACAUAGAAUUCUUCGACAUCAAAGAUAUUUCUCAAACUUAUCCUUUGUCAAAGCAAAAAUUAAUAAGAUUAUUGGCUCCACACCUAAUGAGGGCUUUGCUUUGGAAAAAUAAUACAUUUUAUGGAUAUGGCCAAAACUUAUCUAUACGUGUUCAUAGGCGGGGACAAAUACAUAAAAUGUUUAAAGGAUUUAAAAUUUUUAAAACAUUUAUCUUAGAACCUCUACUCGAUUAAUUGCAAUAGUAUCUAAAUGGAUUCAAGCAAUUCAUGUGCAUGUGGUAUAACUGUCUUAGCGAAGACCUAGAAAAAGAAGAAUAGUUUAAAAUUUCUAAAACAUUUACUUCAGAACCUCAUGAUUUGAAUUUGAUUAAACUACAAUGAGCAUCUAUGAAUUGAAGCAAUUUGAGCAUAUGCGGUGUAAUUGUCUUGACAACUAAUAAAAAAAGGAUAUGCAAAUAAUUCAAUGCUCCUGUGGUAUAAUUGUUCAUGAGUCCAUGCGCAUUUAUUCCAAUAUAUGUUAACGACUUAAAUCUUAUUAGAACUUUUAAAGAGCCCAUAAAAAUAGUGAUUUAUUUGAAAAAGAAAGAUCUUAGAAGGACAAAUUUUAUCUUUGUCAAUAGCUUGAGUCAUGUUUCAAGUGUGAUAUUGUCCAUUAAUCAACACAUACAAAGAGAAUCCGAAGUGCUUUCACAAGACAAAGCACAUCCAUUGAACUUACUAAUGGUUGUUCAUUCAUUUGAGGUGAAGAAAAACCCAUUUCAUAUUUGUGAAGAUGGCAAAGGUCUACUUAGUCCUCAAAUACCAUGUCUUAGUACAAUUAGGGUAUUUAUGUAUCUUACAAAUUAUACAUGAGCAAAUAUUAUAUUUUUCAUUAGUUUUCUAGCAAGUUAUGGUUUUAUUAUGACUAGAAGACAUUAGAAUAAUAUCACACAUGUAUUAUGUUAUCUUUGUAAAACAAUUUAUGUAAGUUUAUUUUGUUCAAAAACUUUAGAAUCACAAUUAUUUGGAUAUAUAAAUACAAGUUAUUGUCCAGACUUUCAUAAAACUUGAUCUCAAACAAGAUAUGAAUUUACUUGUGAAAAUAUUGUUAUAUCAUAAGGAUUUGUAAAACAAACAAUGGUCGGUGCUUCUUUUCAUCACUCAUAAAUAUUUAAAAUUUAUGCACAAGUUAUGAAUGCAUAUGACUAAGAUAUUUGGUCUAGCAAAUUCAAAAGUCAUGUGUAUUAUCCUUGAUUAAGAGCCGUACAAUAAUAUUACAUGAAGAUAACGUUGCAUACAUUGUAUAGAUUAAAGGAGAAUAUAUUGAAAAGAAUAAACCAAACACAUCUCACCUAAAAUUUUCAUACAUGUGAACUUAAAAAGAGUAAUGAGAUUGAUGUCAUUCAAAUGAUAAUCUAGUGAGCAUAUUCACAAAGGUUUUGUCAAUUAUAACAUUCAAGAUGUUAAUACAAUAAAUUGGAAUACACCAUUUCAAAGAAUUUUUCAUGGCAAAUUGAUGUAAUUAAAAGUUAUGCACGUUUGGUACCUACACGAUCAAUCUGUCUCCGUAAGGUUUCUUUCAUUCCAUCGACAGCCUGAAGGUGUGUGAUGCAUCUCGUAAUGCACUAAGGCAUUUCAUACAAAACCCAUUGUUGUUUGGAGGUUCAUAUGAUACAGACAGGUGAGGUGAGGUGUAUUACGUUGUAUUCAUGGGUAGGAAGCCAGGCAUAUGCAUGUGGCCCUAUGUGACAAUGUCAGCGAUGAGUAGUUCGAUACACAGGCCCAUAUUUACAAGUCCUAAGAAUCUAUGGCGAAGGCAAGUAGGGCAUGGGUGUUGUAUGAACUAUGAAGCAUGGUGAAAAAGAGAUGGAGACACCUCUACUGCAACUGAUGAGGAUCUAUUGACUAAGCCCACCAGUCCACGUCAACUCCGGGACUUCCAGAUUAACGUGACUUAGAAAUCGAAGGGUCCGUCUGGAAGCGGUUUUCAUAAUAGAUUUCAAAGAAAACCCUGUGUGAAAGAUCUUUUUUUCUCUUCUUCUUUGGACGUUUGUAGGUCUUCCAGUAACGUGAGCCAUUCCAUGGUUUUCUAGGCUUUUAGCCCUUUAGGUUACCUAACCAUUAAAGUUGUAGUGGAUGCAUAAUUUUCCCUCGCUAAAGAACAAAAUGUGGAAAUGACUGUCGUACAAGUAUUGACACGAGAAUCCCGUCUGCAACAAGUUAGAAUGCCCGUGUCUGGUCUUAUCCAGACGAGACGUGGAGUCUCGAACCAUAUUUUACGCGUUCACUCCAAUUAUUAAGAGUGAAGUGGUGUGAAUGCUCGUGUCUGGUCUUAUCCAGACGAGACGUGGAGUCUCGAACCGUAUUUUACCCGUUCACUCCAAUUAUUAAGAGUGAAGCGGUUUGAUUAGGAUUCACGUGCCCUACUUUGUUUUCCGUAUAAAGAUGGGGGCUCAUAACGGAGUUUUGACCCAAAAAUAUUAUAUUAAAAAUAAAAAUUCUAUCAAGUAAACUUGAUUUUCAAAAUAAUGGAGUUUUGACCCAAAAUAUUAUAUUAAAAAUAAAAAUUCGAUCAAGUAAACUUGAUUUUUAAAAUAAUUUUCAAUCUAACGGUCUUUAUCACUCAUAUUAUAAAACCAUAAUAGAUGACUAUGGUUUUAUUUUUCUAAAAAUGUUAGAAAUGGUAAUUAUCAAUCACGAUUUUAACUUUAAAUUUAAAGCUUUACUAUUUUCAAUCAUUUUAAAAAUGGUCAAAGCAUAAUUACUAUGAUUUUAAUUUGUAUUUUAUAUAUAUAAAAUUAUAUUGUUUUAUUUGAAAUAUUUAAUUUUAAUUUUUUAAAUAAAAAUAUUAUUUUAUUUUGAUUUUAAAUAAACUUAUCUUAUUAUUUAAAUAAUAAUAAUAAUAUAUAAAAUUAAAUAAUUGAUAUGUUUACUUUGAUAUAAAAAUAUUUUUUAAAUUUGAUUAAAACAAUUAGUAUUAUAUUUAAUAUAAAUAUAAUUAGUUAAUUAAAAUUAAAAAUAAAUAAAAUAUAAUAAAUUAUACUUAUUUAGAACAAAUAAAUUAUGAAAGUCUAUUUAGAAAAAAAAUAUAAAUUAUUAUAUUAAUUUAUAAUUUUUUAUAUAUUAUAUGUAAGUGGUAUAUAUAUAUAUAUAUAAGUUUUAUUUAAGUUUAAAAUUUAUCAUAUUUUCAUUUAAAUAUAUAAAUAAAUUAUUAUACAUGAUCGGAUAUUAUGAAUGAAAAUAUGAUAAUAUUUUCAUAAAUUAUUAUUCUAUGAACACAAUGUGAUAUUAUAUACCAGUUACAUGUAAUAUAUAAAAAAUUAUUAAUUAAUAUAAUAAUUUAUAUUACUUUUUUUUUCUAAAUAGGCUUUCAUAAUUUAUUUGUUUUAAAUAAAUAUAAUUUAUUUGUUUUAAAUAAAUAUAAUUUAUUAUAUUUAAAUAUAAUUAACUAAUUAUAUUUAUAUUAAAUAUAAUAUGUAUUGUUUUAAUAAAAUUAAAAAAUAUAUCUUAUAUCAAAUUAAAAAUAUCGAUUAUUUAAUUUCAUAUAUUAUUAUUUUUUAAAUAAUAAGGUAAGUUUAUUUAAAAACCAAAUAAUAUAAUAUUUUUAUUUAAAAAAAUAAAGUUAAAGUCAUUGUUGAUUACUAUGACUUUAACCAUUUUUAAAAGAAUUGAAAACUAUAACCACCGAUUAUAACGUUAACUUAAAGUUAAAGUCGUGGUUGAUGAGGUUUCUAACCGUUUAAGAAAAACAAAACCAUAGUCAUUAACUACGGUUUUAUGACAUAACAGCUUAUAUAGUACAGACGUACCAAAUUGAACAUUAUUUUAUAAACAAGUUUAUUUUAGGGAAUUUUUUUUUUCAAUGUACUAUUUUGGGUCAAAACUCCUCAUCAUGAACCCAAAAUGUUGGCUACUAAGACUAAUAAAAAUAUAUGUAGGUGACAUUGAAAAUGAAUUUUCGAGUUACUAAACCUAGACAUAUACAUUUAGAAAACAUAUUUCCCCAAAAGAUGGGUAGGUCUAGAUAUAUCAGAUACUUUAUAAUGGUGGAGUUAGAAAUUGGUGUAACAGGAGGCAAAUAUGAAAAAUUAUGAAUCAGUUUGAUAGUAAUUGUAAGAAGUGUUUUCAAUUUUUUUAAUAUUUAAAUUUUUUUAUCUUUUAAACAUUAAAAAUGAUAGAAAAGUUUCUUAAAAUUAUUGUCAAAUAUACUCUAAGUAUAAAUAUGAAAGAUUUUAUCAUAUACUCUCUUCAUAGAAGGAUUAUUAGGAAUAAUCAAAUUAUUAUGAGUAACUUGAACUCAUUCUUUGCAACCUCAUUCUUAAACAUAAAUUUUAUCAUAUAUUUUUAAUAAUCAAGAUACAAAAUUUGAUAUUUAUAAAAUCGAUAUCUUAAUUUUUAGAAUUUCUUGAGGCUGUCCCUCACAUAAUAUUUCUGUUGUCCUCAACCUAGGGAAAAGUAAAAAUUAUGCUCAUGCUUAAAGGACUGUAAACCUGCAGUUUCAAUGCACUUUCUAUCAUCCAAAUAAAGGUUUGAAUAAUGUUUGGGUUGUGAGAAGUAAAAGAGACAAAAGAAAUGGAGAACAUGAAAGCACUAAGUUGCUAAAUAAUUUUGGGAGAAUUGAGUUUUGCACCCACUUGGGCGUGAAAAUUGGCUCAAGGUCCUCAUAUCUCUUGUAUUUAAGCUCAAAACCUAGUGGAUGAGUGAAAAUUGAGUUGAAGGACAUUACUUUUCAAAAUUUCUUAACAUGCCCUUGGCUAUCAAAAAGAAAAAGAAAACAAGUAACUUCCCACUUUCUCAUUCUCUCUCUCUCUCUCUCUCUCUCUCUCUCUCUCUCUCUCUCUCUCUCUCUCUCUCUCUCUCUCUCUCUCUCUCUCUCUCGUUAUUCACAUUACCUUUCUUUUACAUAUUAAUUGGUGGGACAUAUAAAUUAAUUCCUUAUUAAGGAAGUGUUACUAUUUCCAUCAAUUAUUUUUCUUCCAAAAAACCAUGCCUAAUAAAUUGAAUAUUAGAAACCAAUGGUUAAAAAUGAUUAUUACUACAUUUUUAAAGUAAAUACAUAUAUUUUUUUUUAAACACCUCAUAAUUUUUUUUAAAACUUAAAAAAUAUAUAAUAAAUAUUUUUUAAACACCUUAAAAAAUAUUAUUAUUCUUUUUUAUCCAACAUAUAUAUAUAUAUAUAUAUAUAUAUAUAUAUAUAUAUAUAUAUAUAUAUAUAUAUAUAUAUAUAUAUAUAUCUUUAAGGUUAUAGACAAUUAUUUGAAUAUUUUCUCUAUUUUAUGGACAAUACAUAGGUAUUGUCUUAAUAUAUUAUUUUGUAACAUGAUCAUCUUUUAACUAAUAUUGAUAAUUAAUUUUUAAUUGAAUAAUGUAUUAUAACUUAAUAAUUUGAAAAAUAUUCAAAUACACUUUUAAAUCUAAAAUAGAUGUGGACUUGAUAUGGUUUAAAUUAUUAAAUCACGUUGCCAUUAAGUCAAGCAAAUGUAUCAUAUUAAGAAAUGUGUACAUAAUUAUAUAAUAAUUUUCUCUUUUUUUAUUUUUUUUCCUCGGAUAUGAUAUCUUUUGUAUAAAGUUUUGUAGAUGGAAAAUAACAAAAUAUUUUGUUAUGUAAAGAGGUAUAACAACACAUUAAAAUCGAAAAGAGAAUAUAAUGGAACACAAAUUAGAUGAAAAUCACCUUAAAUAUGGAUAUAAUAGAAAACAUGUAAAUGCAAAAAAAAACAAGUUUAGAUGAAAUUUAAAAUAAAAAAUCAAAGAAAAUAAAUUAAAAGUAAUAAUAUAAAAAUCUUAUAAUCUUCAAAACUAUAAUUACAACAAAAAAAUAUAUAUUUUAAAUUAACUUGAUAAUUUAAAUUAAUGAUUUUUUUUUUAAAGAAAAUUACAAAUGUUACAAAGAUAAUUUUUUUUCCUUUUUAAUUCUAUUUAAAUAUGAUUUUUUUAAUCUCUGUUGACAUUAUGCUUAUAAAGGUAAAAUAGUAAAUAUAUAUAUUUUAUUUGAUUUACUUGUAAUAAACACUUUAAAUAUGAUUAAUUUUAAUUUUAUUUCCUAUGUUUUAAUUUUGGUAGGGAAGAUCUAAAUGACAUAGUUUGGUAAAAAAUAUUGAUAAUUUUUCCUCAACAGUUAUUAUAUGUUGUUUAUAUUGUCUUAAGUCAUUUGAAACAAUGACACUAAUGUUAUCCAUUUAUAUUAAUUUGAUUUCACAAAAAAAUGUAAUACCUAAAUAUUAUGGUUAAUUUUCCUUUAUAUAUGAUGUAAAGGUAGGAAGAAAAAAAUAUUGUUAAAACUACUUAAACAAAAUAUGCAAUUACAAAUUUUAGAUGAUGAAAUUUAAAAUUUAAAAUUAAAACAAUUUUUAGGUGAAGGAAUGUGUGGGGGAAAAGUGUUCAAUCCUUAGGUGACAAGAAAAAAAAAGUUCAGAAUUGAUUGAAAUCUUGCAUAAAGGGUAGCGUUGUACACCCUUGUAUAAUUAGUACAUUUGCCUCAUAUAGUUGGUACAUUUGUCUUGUAUAGUGAGUGUAACACCCUUGUAUAGUUAAUGUAACACCCUUAUACAAUAGUGCAAAUUUCAUGUACAAUUUGUGGGUGACAAAGAAAAUAAAGAAAUGAUUCAAAAUUGACUAAAAUAUUUCACAAAUGAUAGCCUUGUACACCCUUGUACACCUUUGUACACUUAGUACAUUUCCCUUGUACAGUUAGUGUAACACCAUUCUACAAUGAUGCAAUAUAUCCCUCUUAAGUUGUGUGUCCACAUAGGUAUAUUAACCUUAUUUCUAAUGGUUUGACUGUCAAAAUAGUGGAUGAAUUAGGAUUAAAUUUUUUUCCCCAAACAUUAUUACUAAGGAAAGUAUCGGAAUUUUCAUGUGAAAGUUAAAUAAAUUUCAUGACAAGGGUAUGCAAUCUGUGGGUGACAAGAAAAAUGAAAAAGUGAUUCAAAAUCGAUUAAAAUCUUUCAUAGAUGGUAGCCUGUACACUCUUGUACACUUAGUACAUUUCCCUUGUAUAAUUAGCGUAAUACCAUUGUACAAUGGUGCAAUAUAUCUCUCCUAAGUAAUGUGUCCACGUAAGUGUGCUAAUCAUAUUUAUAAUGAUUUAACUGAGAAAAUAAUGGAUGAAUUAGGGUUAAUUUUUUUUCCUCUUACAUCAUUACUGGGAAAGUAUCGGAAUUUCCAUGUGGAAGUUAAAUAAAGUGCAUGACAUGAGUAUGCAAUUUGUGGGUGACAAAGAAAAUAAAGGAGUGGUUCAAAAUAGAUUGAAAUCUUUUAUAAAUGGUAAUUUUAUACACUGCUUGUACACUUAGUACAUUUCCCUUGUAUAGUUAGUAAAUACCCUUGUAAAUUGAUAAAUUUCAUAUCCCCGUAGUGUAUGUAUGCCUAUAUGUGUAUUAAACAUGAUUCUAGUAGUUUGAUUAAAAAAAAUGACGGAAAACUUAAAUCCAAUUUUUUUAUGAACAUAUUACAUUUUUGUGAAAAAAAUAUACAAUUGACUAACUCCUUUAUUUAAUUGUCAACAUAUUAUAUUUUAAAAAUAAAAAAAGAAUAAUCAAUAAAUGAUAUUUAAUUCUUUUUAUUAUUUUCAUAUAAAAAAAAUAGUAUUAAACAAGGUCUUCAAUUUUUUUUUAAAUAGUUUUCAUUUUUUUUAAUUAAAUGUAUUUUCAAAAAGAGACAAUAUAAAAAAUAAAAAUUAUUUUUAAAAAUAAAAAAAUAAAAACUAGAAAAAUUAUUUUAAAAUCAAACUCAAACAUAAUCUAUAUAAUUUUUAACUACUUGUUUUCAUUUAAAAUGAGUAAAUAUAUUAUUUAACCCUUUUAUAUGAGAAAAAAUCAAUCUCUACUGUAUUAUGUAUUGAUAUAAUCAAUUUCUAAAUAUAAAAACAUUUUAGUUGGAUAUUUAAAAUAAAAACUCUUCAUCUAUCCUCUUUUUCUCUUUUUCUUUUUUCUUAUUUCAAUAAAUUUUCAAUUAAUUCAAAUCAUUAAAAAAAUUUCCUUAAUAAACAAAUUUGGAACUUAUUACCAAAAGUCUAUGUUCAAAAAAAUAUUAAAAUAAAAGAUUUAAAAAAAAAACUUUAAACUUUUUGUUUUAUAACAGUAAAAAAAUGUAAACUUUAAAAUACUUUUUAAUAUAAAAGAAAAAAAAUAGUAAAUAUAUUUAUUUUAAAUAGUUUUUUAAUCAUUAAAUUGUUUACUUUUAAAAUGUAAAAAAUAAUUUUUAUUUAUUUAAAUUAAUAUUUUUUUCUAAAGUAUUUUCCCAAAAUAAUUUUUGAAUCAUUAAUAUAAUUUUUGUUUAUUUAUAAUUUAAAAAUAAAAAAUAAUGCUGAUUUUUCAAUUAUUUUUAAAAGAGUUUAAAAAACGAUGGGUGUAAGUUAAAGGGGUAUUUUUGUUUAUUCCAACCUUAUAUCAUUGUAGUCAAUUAUGGGUAUUUGAAGGACCUUUUAUUAAUUACCCAAGUAGGUGUAAAACACAAUUCUCCCAAUAAUUUUUCUUUCCAUUUUUUUAAGAAAACAAGAGGAAGAAAAUAAGGGGAAAAAAAGUGAACAAAUGAAAAUAAAUUUUAAAUUAAUAAAUUAAUUUUAUAUAUUUAUUCAAAUUCAUGUUAUUUUUUGCAUACAAAAUUAAAUAAUUUUAAAAUAUAUAAAAUUAUAAUUAUAUAUUAAUUUCUUUUGUAUAAAGUGUCUAAUUUAGCAUAAAAAUAUCGAAUGUAGUAUGUCUAGCAUUUUUUUGCAUCAUACUAGUUAGCACAUACUACCCAAGAGUUUUGGCAAGCGUAUACAUUUUACAUAAAUACUGAAUGAGGUCUAGUAGUUUUAAUUUAAGAAACAAAUAAUAGGGCUCAAAAUUGUCAAUUUUUUUUUUUUUUUUGUAUGCAUGAAUUAUGAGAAGAUUUAUGUUUUUCUCAGAUCUCUUGCAUUGUAUAUAACUUGAGUGCAUUAGUAAUUGUAUGGAAGAUCCAAGUCAUUAAUUCUUUACAAAUAGAUGAUUUGUUCACAAUCAAUUCAUAGGCCUAGAUAAUCCAUUAAAAGUUGUAAGCACAUUAUCUUUUAAUUUGAUGGAUGANNNNNNNNNNNNNNNNNNNNNNNNNNNNNNNNNNNNNNNNNNNNNNNNNNNNNNNNNNNNNNNNNNNNNNNNNNNNNNNNNNNNNNNNNNNNNNNNNNNNCCUAGAUAAUCCAUUAAAAGUUGUAGCACAUUAUCUUUUAAUUCGAUGGAUGACUAAUCUUGGUCAUUGGCAUAAGUUUCCCAUGAUGAGUUUACUAGUGCGUAUAGUUACAUAUUAGACAGAACAUACAAUGAGUCAUGACGUGAAGUUAUCAAGUAAUCAUGAUUUCUCCAAAAUGUUUCAUUAUAUUGUUCCUCAACUUUGAGAGAAUACUAAGUUUAUGGUUUUGACCUAUGAAUGAGAUCCUAAAGUAAUCAUAUAUUUCUUAUGGAUUAGGUCACUAUUGAUGGAAGUUGAUAGCAAUAAAUAUUCUUAAUAAAGACACUAUGACAUCUCAUAGGAUUGAGAUAGAGUGUUCUCUUGGAUAAUCUUAAGAAGGUGUCUUCAUGUAAACUGUAGUCAUAGUCAUUCCUUAAGUGGAACUUGAUAUAAACUAUUUGUGAGAUUAAAUAUAUUAGUUAAUCACAUAAAAUGAGGAUCUAUAACUAAAGGAUAGUAAACAUAGUAUUGAAAGAUUUAUAGUUUUCUCCUUAUUAGACUACAAUCACCAGUUCAUGUGGAGACUGAACAUAAUGAAUAGCAAGUCAUAGACCCAAACACUUUGUAUCUCAUUAUUAUUUACAUAGGGUACUAUAGUACAAUUGAUUAUCUGAAGUGAGAUAUUGAAUAAACUUCAUAAUUGGAUUAUGAGGGAACCGAUAUUUUCUUAUGAGUCUCAAUGGUCCUUGGUCAAGCUCAUAUACCUUGUUGGCAUAGUUAUGAGAAUUGGAUCGACUUUUGAUUCACUUAUGUGCAUAAGGACAUUUUGGUAAUUAUAUAAUGUUGUAUAAGAAUUAGUGAACGACAUCUUUAAAUUGAACUAAUUGAUUAAUUAGAUAACUAUAUGAGAUUAAUUAAUCAAUUAUGACCUAAUUUGGGUUUAGAUUAAAUGAUCGAAAUUCAUGCGAGUUCAAGUCACUUAAGCCUAAUUAGGAACUCUAUAAAUACCCUUUAGGAAUUAAGGUUUCCAUCACUUCUGUCUUUCACCAUCUAAAGUGAAAAGAAGCUCCUAUAUUCCACCCUCCUAAACUACCCACAAUAUGUGUGCAAAGGAACGAAGUUGAGUCAUUGAGUGAAAGAUUGUGGAUCUACAAGACUUCUAAGAACAUUAAUUUGAUUCUUCAACAUAUAAAAUUUAAACUUUAGGAACAUUCAAACCUAAAAGUACAUGCACUUCCCUCAUUUAUUUAUUUAAUUUUGUGUGAUAUAUAUGCUUUAUGUGAGUAUUCUAUUGUUAUGUUCUUUUUUAUUAUUGUCAUUGUCACCUUCGCUCUUUGCUAUCCAUUAGUUUAUUGUCAUGGUUACCUCAAUUUGAUUAGUAGAGACUUUUACUUAAAACUUAAAGAGGUGCUACCUUAUGGUACUUUUCCAAUAGAUAACUUAACUCUUGGACUUACACUCGAUUUUUAAAGAUAUGAUUUUUCAAGUAAAAAGUUACUCUUAGGUUUUAUUUUUUAUUCUAAUUUCCAUUAUAAAAAAAAGUGACAAUUCCAUAUUUUUUUCAAAAAUCAAUUUUUCACUUAAAAAGCUAAUAUCGCCAUUGAGUAGGAAUGCAUGUGAAAAAUACAAGUUCACAAUUAUCUAUGACUUGCAUUAGGCACACUAUGGAAGACCAAUUAAUAUGGUUUCAAAAAUUCUAAAGGAGGUACCUCAUUCUUCAUCUACCCAAUGAUGGACACACUAUCCACUUGUAUACGGACAAUUGCAAUAUCACAAGUAAUUAACCACAUCUUUUACAACAUUUUAUUAACACUUUGGCUACUUAAUUCUCUAUUAAAGAUCUUGGGUUUGGAGUUGAUGUUGUUCCAACAGAUGUAGGUAUUUCCCUUUCCCUGCAUAAAUACAUUUAGGCUAUGUUUGGUUCUCGGAAAAUUUGAGGAAAAAUGCGAGGGAAAGAAAAUACAAAGGAAAAGUAGAAGGAAAGAAAAAGUGAAAGAAAAUAAAAAAAAUAGAUUAAAAGUUGAUAAAUUAUUUUUUUUGUUACUUCAAACUUAUUUUAUUUAUUUUAACUCAUCAAUAUAAAGAUUAAAUAAUUUAAAAAUAUAUAAAUUUUUAAUUAGUUUUAAUUAUAUUUGAUUUUCUUUGAUAUUUUUCAUAGGACAACCAAACAUGAGAAAAUCAUUUUUCUUAGCAUUUUUUUUCUUUCCUUUGUACUUUCCGGAACCAAACAUAGCCUUAGGAUUUACUUCACAAAAUCAAUAUGCAAGGCACAAAGGAGUCUCUACCCAUUGUCCAUACCUACCCAACUUCGCCUUGGUGAUGACUCUAAACCAAUCGAUAUCACUAGAUUUCGCCAAGUUAUUGGUGGCCUCUAUUAUUUCUUUGACUUGUCAAGAUAUUUCCUCCACAGUCAUCAAGUUGUCUUAGUUCAUGUAGUCAAUUUGUCCGCUUCAAAAUCUUGACUUUGGGCAUUCAUUCUCGUACUAAAAUUUCAAAUUUUCUCACCCUUUUGGGACCCCUCCUAUUUCCCUAUUACUUUCUUACCAUCAAAGGCUAAUUGCAAUAAUUGUCUUUGGCAUUAACGUGCCAAUAUCUUCUCCCAAACUCACAUAUUUAUAAAGCUUUAGUAAAAGUCUCCCUUUUACCUUACAAAUUCUUCUUGUGCAAUGAUAUAGUACAAGUCCAAAUUCACAGGCAAUCCCUGUGUAAAGAAAAUUCGUAUGAUGGCAUUAUCAUAUCUUUCCACUUGAAUGAGGAAUGGAGUUGAAUCUUUUUGCAUAGUUGCGAAUACAGUUCAAGCAAUACCAUUUUGUUAAAAGAAAUGAGACGCCGGAUUCAGAAAAGAUGAGGCAACUGCUCUUUGUUGUCACAAGUCACAUGAUGGUCAAAAACUUGACUCAAAAUUUCCGAGCCACCCUUAAGUCAAAAGUUUGUAUGAAAUUUUUGUGCAAACGAUGAGGUUAAGAAAAGUCUAAUAAAAAAGUAAAAAAUAAAAAUAAAAAUUGUAGGGGGUUUAAUAAUUAAAGGUGGCAUGCCCUAAUAAGAGCAUGAUAUAAGAUGAGGAAAUCCCGGGGUUGGUGAGUAUUUGUAGAGAGGGUGAGGGACAUGGUCAUGUUUUACCUCAAUCAACAUGGAUCAAAGGAGAGAGGGUGAACGGAUAAAUUUUUUUUUAAAGCAAAAUCAUUUUUUCAAAUUUCAAAAGACAAAAUCUUCUUUUCAAAAGAAGAUUUUAAAAAAAUUUCAAAAGGGAAAUCGUCUCUUCAAGAGACGAGUUCCAUGAAUAUAUAUAUAUAUUUAAAAUUUUCCAAAUUAUAAAAAAAAAAAAAAAAAAAAAACAAUUCCUCGAGUGAAGAGACGAGUUCAAAAAAUUCCUCAAGGAACUCGUCUCUUGAAGAGACGAGUUCCAUGGAAAAAAAAUUCCCAAUUUAUUAAAAAAAAAAAAAAUUCCUCAAGGAGUGUCUCUUGAAGAGACGAGUUCCCAUGGAAAAAAAAUAUAUAUUUUUUUAAAAUAUAUUUAAAAGAAAAUUCCUCAAGGAACUCGUCUCUUCAAGAGACAAGUUCCAUAGAAAAAAUAUAUAUAUAUAUUUUUAAAAAAAAUUCCCAAUUUAUUAAAAAUAAAAAAAUAAAAUAAAAUAAAAAGAAUUCCUCAAGGAACUCGUCUCUUGAAGAGACGAGUUCCCAUGGAAAAAAAAUAUUUUUUAAAAAAAAUAUAUUUUAAAAAAAAUUCUCAAAAAAAAAAAAAAAAAUUCCUCAAGAAACUCGUUUCUUGUCUCUUCAAGAUACGAAUUCCAUGGAAAAAAAAUUCUCAAUUAAAAAAAAAAAAAUUCCUCAAGAGACGAGUUCCCAUGAAAAAAAAUAUAUAUUUUUUUAAAAAAUUCCCAAAUUAAAAAAAAAAAAAAAAAAAACAAUUCCUCAAGAGAACUCGUCUCUUGAAGAAACGAGUUCCCAUGAAAAAAAAUAUUUUUUUAUUUAAAUUCCCAAAUAAAAAAAAAAAUUCUCAUCUCUUCAAUAGACGAGUUCCAUGGAAAUAUAUAUAUUUUAAAAAAUUCUCAAAUUAUUAAAAAAAAAAAAAAAAAAAAAAAACCAAUUCCUCAAAGGAACUCGUCUCUUCAAGAGACGAGUUUCCUUGAGGAAUUGUUUUUUAUUUAUUUAUAAUUUGGGAAUUAUUUUUUUGUUUAAAUCUCUUCAAGAGACGAGUUCCUUUGAGAAAUUUUUUUUUUUUUUUAAUUUGAGAAUUUUUUUUCAUAGGAACUCAUCUCUUAAAGAGACGAUUUUCCUUUUGAAAUUUUUUUAAAAUCGUUUUUUGAAAUUUUUUUAAAAUCGUCUUUUGAAAAGACGAUUUCGUCUUUUGAAAUUUGAAAAGAUGAUUUUGGUUUUAAAAAAAAAAUUAUCCGUUCACCCUCCCUCCUCUCUCCUAGGUGGCAAAAACUAUCAUAUAUUUGUAAUAAUUUCUUCUACUACAAUAAUUUAAGUAUAACUUUUUUAAAUUAUCUUACUAUUGAGAAAAGUCUCAUUCCCAUUUCCAUGAGACAACGGCAAAUAUAAUAAUCCAAAGCACACUUGACUUGGAUUUCCUAAAGACGCGCUAAGAAUUAAUCUUUUAUAUGACAAUCAUACUCCUCGCCCUCUUUCCCCUGCGCUUGUUCAUCCAAAGCUUUAAAAACUGCUGUGUCAUUGGCGGCGCAGCCACGAUCCACACCGCCGCCAAUCGCAAUGCUUAAUGCCACGACCGGAUGAGUAGCAACUCAGCAUCCCAUUAAAAAACAACUUAAUCUUUUAAGUAUAAAAAAAUAAGGUCUUAAUAAGAAAAAUUAUCAACAGUAUUAAAAUAAACAUGAACAAGGAUGAUAAAAUUUCCAUGAAUUACAAAUUGUAUUAAGAGUUUUUUUAUUCAUUUGACCAGAAUCAUCUAUCAUCUCCAAAAUAGAUAGCACAAUUUAUAUGGGCCAUGGUGUUCGAUGUACUGUUGGGGUAAAUUCGGGCGUUCAAAAUUUCAAACCAUAAACGUCAGAAUGAGCGACGACACACGAAUGGCACUGCCACGUGUCCACCAAAGGGGAUGAACGGUCCUAGGAAUUGAUAUUUGAAGGGCAUGCCCUGGAGGCGUGAGACAACGACUCCACUCCAUACCUCCAAAACCGUCCCCUGUUUUUUUAAUCUGUCUCUCUCUCUGCACCCUUUUCUAUGAAACGCCUCCUCCUCCGGCGCGAUUCGAUAUCACCCCGGCAACAUCUCCAGGUUGAAUCCUCGGAGUUUGAGGGGGUUGUAGUGCCUCCCAAUCCCAUGUGCAAAUCCAAAAGCAGCAUCAGUGCAGUGGAGCCCAGUGUCAACCACGGCCGAUCAGACACACCCAGAAGCUCCCGAGUCACCAGGACGUCCAGGUCGUCUUCUUCUGCGACGGAUCGCAGCAAUUUUAAUCUUCCCACCAAUUACAACACCAGUGGGACUUCCAGGUCAUCUGAGUCGACUCCCGCUUCGCUUUCUUGCAUCAGAGAGUCCUUGCCGGAGAAUCCCCACGUCUACGACAUCUCCGAAAUCUGCUCCGCCACCGGCAAUUUUCUUGCCAAGAAGUUCUCCUCCUCCUCUUCCGCUUGGCGCUGCUCUGUCCGCGGCAAAGACGUGGUCAUCUUCCAACGAAAGCUCCGCCGCCCCAUCGAGACUGCGGAGAUUCGCAAACUGCUGUCGGUGAUUUGCAAAAGCCACCAUGGGAGCUUGAUCAAGCUCCUCGGGGCUUCGAUUUCUGGAAACCACAUUUACCUCGUUUACGAUUACGUUGAUGGCGCUAGCCUCGCAGAUUGUCUCAGAAACCCUAGAAACCCUAAUUUCACAGUUCUGUCGAAUUGGGUCUCGAGAAUGCAGAUCGCGGCGGACUUGGCUCACGGGCUUGACUACGUCCACCAUUGCACUGGAUUGGAUGCGAGUUUUGUGCACAAUCGUAUCAGGAGUUCCAGCAUUCUCGUGAUUAACGACUCGUUGAAUGCCAAGAUAUGCCAUUUCGGCACCGCACAACUCUGCGGCGAAAUCGCGGAAGGUACCGGAAAAAAUUCAGGGUCCUCCCAAUUGAAAAGAUCGGGCAGUGCGGUGAUGAAGAUCGAGGGGACGAGAGGGUACAUGGCACCGGAAUUUCAGUUGACAGGAUUGGCGACGCGGAAAUCGGAUGUGUAUGCGUUUGGGGUGGUGAUUUUGGAGAUCUUAUCUGGAGCAGAGGCGUUGAAGUACAUUGCGGACGAUGAGAGUGGUACAUAUAAGAGAGUGAGCGUGAUUGAAACAGCUAGAGAGGCCAUUGAAGCUGAAGGUGGCGGCGGCGGUGGUGGGGUGAGGAGGUGGGUGGACAGCAGGCUCAAGGACUCGUAUCCGGUGGAGGUGGCGGAGAAGAUGGUGCGUUUGGGUCUGGAGUGCGUGGAGGGGGAUCCGGGUAAGAGGCCCAAUAUGAGUGAAGUAGCGGCUCGAAUUUCUAAGCUGUACUUAGAGUCCAAGAAUUGGGCCGAUCGAAUAGGGAUGCCUACCGAUUUCUCUGUCUCAAUGGCACCUCGAUGAAUCCCUCCAUAGAGUUAUGAUUUAUAGUAAAAUUAGAGGAAGAGCCAGUUGAUUUACAGACACAAACACGCAGCAUUCUUACAGAUGACAUCUAACAUCAAGGUAGCAAUUGAUUACAGUUCAACUUAGGUUUUGUUUUCAGUUAAAUUUCGAACUACUCAUUCGAUCAAUUCAUCAUCAUGAUUGAGAAUGAAGAGUUCACAGAAGUGGAGAUGACACCCUUGUACAGCACUACGCCAUCUCUACCGGGAAUCUAAUCAUUCAGGUUUUCUUUUCUACUGUUUUGAGUCGUGAGAAUUUUGAUGUAAUGUGAGGAAAUUUUUUUAUACUGUACAUGUUUUGUCAUAUAUUCAUAUAUUUUAAACACAGAUAUUUCUUUCAAAUUUCAAUCAUCCCCACUUGCUUAUGCUGAGAUACUGGGAUUCUCCAAACUGAUCAGCCGACGUCUGAUGUCGAUAAAGACCUGCACUGCGGGGGUGUUGCCUCUCAUUCUCGUAAGCCUUUUGACUACUACCCGAACUUAUCGUAACCCACAUGCGCAACACUAUCCAAGAUGCCAGAGCAAGUCGGUCAAUUAGUCCCCAUUAGCUUUCUUUGGUGCCCUCUUCUGUGACCCAAUUUUGAUCUUACGGAUUCAAAAGGCUCAUGAUUCAAGCUAUAAACACAAAAAGCAUCUUAUUUUAUUUUUUUUUCCCAUGAAGUUGAUGCGGUUGUAUUUAUCACUAUAGCUGUUAAGCCCCUGUUGUGAACUUGACUCCCCUAGAAUCCCCAAAAAUCAACCUGAUGACCAUCAAAACAAUACUAACUUUGACAAGAGUGUUUGAGCUUAUUGUUUGUUUUUUUACUUAAUUUUAAAUAUAAUAUUAAUAUUUAAUAGUGUUAAAUAUUAAGUUAUUUAUUUUUAUAGUAUUUUAUUUCUAUUAAGUAUUAAAAAGUAAAAAAAAAUCAAUAUAUUAUUUUUUCUAUUUAGAAAAAGUUACAUAUUUUGAUUUUUUUCUAUUUAGUAAAAAGUUUAUAAUAAGUCAUAAAAAAACAAACGAUAUAAAUUCUGAAAACAAAUUACUUUCAGUAAAAAACCAAAAAAAUAACCAUCAUCUUAAUCUAAAAAUUUUUAAAUACAAACGGUAGUGUCACCCUACAAAUUGUGCAGAAGCAUUAAGUUGUGACCAAUUCCAACUUUUGUAAACAGGUCAAAUUCAAGACAAGGGAGUAUUUUAGCGGUUUAGUUUUUUAUGAGAAGGAUAUUGAGGAGAUCUCCCUUGGCGUGCAAAACCAUCUUUAAAGUAUGCUAAUAUGACCACAACCUGCGUUCCUACACAAGACCAAGCAGAUAAAAUGCCCCACCCUAAAUUAGUAAGAGAAGUUUAAUUUUGAUUGUUUGAACAGCUAUUCCAAAUAGUAAUUGGCAAGCAUGAUCCAUUAAAACCAACUAUGAUUGAAAUACUAUUUCCUUUUUCCUUUCUUUUUUUUUUUUUUUUUUUUUUAUGAAACUAAGACCAAGAAUCUAGCUCCAUCCAUAUUCAAAGGGGCAAUGAUAUCAAAAAUAAUAGAAAGUGGAGAAUGAGGAUGGAUGAUGAGUGAUAUGAUGUGUAGGCUGUUUGAUACCUUGAAUUCAGUCACUGAUUCAUAGAUUAGAGUCGCUUCUUAAUAAUUUGUUUUAAAAUUCUAUACAACCAUUUGAAAUGAUUUUGAACUAAUAUUUAGCAGGUGUCUCUUUCCAAAAAUUAAUUUUUUAUGUAUCACUUUAGUGAAAGUACUUUGAAUACUUAAAUAAAAAAUAAUAAUAAAAAAAUCUAAACAUUAUUUGACUAUGCUUUCGAAAAUAUUUACAAAAAUCAGUUUUUAAGAGUAUUGCUUUGAUGUUUAGCAAUAAAAUUUUGUUUCAAACCUAAUUUUAAAUAUAAUAACUUAUUUUAUUGAAAUGCAUUUUAUUAUUAUUAUUAUUAUUACUAUAUAUAUUAAAAAUUAAAUUAAAGUCGUCCUCAUCAGGCAUGAUGAAUAGCAAGUUGUAUUGCUACAAAUAUAAUAUUUUUUUUUUGAAAAAAAAAUCUAAAUUUAUUAUUAUUAUUAUAUCAAAACUGUCCUCAAUGACUAUGAUUUAGAUCUUCAAGCUAAAAUCACAAUUACUACUGUGUGUGGUAGGAAAAAUACUAAUUUAAUGAAUAUUUUGAAGAUCUAGAGGGAGAAAUUUUUUUAAAAGAAAUACAAACUUCCAUGAUCUUAUAUCUUAAAAAACAGAAAAAAAAAAAAAAAAAAAAAAAAAAAAGCACCAAUUUGAUGAAUACUUUGAAGAUCUAGAUAGAGAUUUUUCUUUUUUUCUUUUUUUAAAAAAAGAACAUUACUUUUAUGGCAAACCCUGUGAUCUUGUAUCUUAAAAACAGAAAGCACAACUUAAAAGAAUAGUGUGUUGCUUGUAGUUUCCAAUCUUCAUCUAUGGUGUGCCUUUGCACUUCUGGUUUAUAUGCUCAAUUGGGCUACGUUGUUUGAUGUCUUGUCUGGUCAACUAAACUCAUCAUUGACUUUUCCAUUUUGUGUAUUUAUUCUAAUAACCUCAUUCCUCAUCAUUUUAGUCUCCUUCAUACCUUCGCCAUUAGUAUUUCCUAGUCUUCGUCUUUGUUAUGGAUGUGUAGUUCGGUUCCAUUUGCAUACACCAACUUUGGGAGAUGAACUUACCAUAGAAUUGGGUUUGAGGGAGCUUGUUCUUAGCUCAAGAUUUCGUAAAAUCAAUUUUGAUAAUUUCAAAAACAAUGGAUUAUAACUUGACGUCAUGUUUUAGUUUAAUUGAGAAUGAUAGAAAUUGAAAGAUAUUAUUUUCAAAUGCUCAAAAUUAAAGUCAAAAUUAAUGAAAACUUACGACCUUUUUAAAAUAUUAAAUAUAAAACGAUUUUCAUUUUGUAUGAAAAUGUUGUCAUGAUUAGCCAAGUUUUAAUAUUAUUAUUUAGAACUGCAAAACUAUACAAGACAAUCACCCCAACAUAGGCGAUCCACCAAUCCCAUGGGUGGUAGGUGCAAUUGUAAGUGGCAAUAAGUUGAGGUACCAAUUAAUAAAUUGGUUGACUAGUUUAGCAAUUAGUCGAUUGAUUGAACAAUCAAUUAACCGAUGAGUCACAAAUAAUCACAUGUAACCCUAACAACAACUUUCCUGAUCAUGUCUUGAUAGAUCGACGUAAAAACUUAUUUUUAACCACUAACUUGUACAAGGAUCACCAAUUUAAAACUCAUGAACAUCAUUUAUCUGUUUUUCAAUAGUUGAAUGUCAAUUUUAUUGAUCACAAAAAAGUUUUAAAUCUUUUUUAAUACAUUUAGUCCCGAACUUGCAAAUCACUUAACUUACUUUUGAAUCUAAUUACCAUUCUUUCUUAUUUUCAAUUUUAAGCUAGGUCUACUCCAUAAAAAAUACUCAUUGUGUUUUAUUUGAGAUAGGGUUUUUAAAGCAUUUGUGUAAAGUGUGAUUAAAGGGUCAAAGCUUGACCCUAAUUGAUAUUCAUCCACGUAAAUAUAUAGUACAUCAAGCAAACCUAAUUAAGGGAAAACCGUGAGUUUAGGAAACAAUCCUAAACAAUAGCAACUACUUUCCUAGAAUACUUUCCUAGAAUAUAUCAUAAUAUCUCAAUCGUGAGUUUAGGAAACAAUCCUAAACAAUAGCAACUACUUUCCUAAUAUACUUUCCUAGAAUAUAUCAUAAUAUCUCAACACCCUCCCUCAAGUUGGAGCAUGAGGUUCAAAAAUGCCCAACUUGGUAAGAAGAUAAUCAAAUUGUUUCUUUCCAAGAGCCUUUGUAAAAAUAUCUGCCAAUUGUGUAACAGUAGGAACAUAUGAUGGAGCAAUCAAACCAUCUGUUAUCGCAUCCCGGACAAAGUGACAAUCAACCUCAAUGUGUUUGGUGCGUUCAUGAAAUACUGGAUUUUUGGCCAUAUGAAGGGCUGACUGACUAUCACAAAAGAGCUUGAUUGCCUUUGGGUGGUGCACACCCAGGCUCAGAAGCAACCCCUUCAACCAUUUGAGCUCACAAGUAACUGCUGCCAUAGCUCGGUAUUCCGCUUCUGCAGACGAGCGGGAAACUGUGUGUUGCUUCUUUGUCUUCCAAGAAAUAGGAGAUUGCCCAAGAAACACAAGUCAUCCGGACAAAGAGCGUCUAGUGACUGGACAUGCUGCCCAAUCAGAAUCACACCAACCCUGUAGGGACAGAUCACUAUCUGCACGUAACAAGAUACCCUGACCCAGAGUACCUUUCAAAUAACGAACGACUCUCAAAGCUGCCUCCCAAUGCUCAAUUCUAGGCUCAUGCAUAAAUUGAGAUAAUAUAUGAACCGAGUAGGCCAAAUCUGGACGGGUCACUGCCAGAUAAAUGAGUCGACCUACUAAUCUGCGAUAGGACUCAGGGUUCGACAAGAGCUCCCCAUUUGCGAGUCCUAAUCUGUGAUUUUGCUCGAUCGGGAAGCCACACGGCUUGGCUCCCAGUAAUCCGGCCUCCGAUACAAUGUCAAGUGUGUACUUGCGUUGACACAAGAACAAACCAGCCGAACUCCUGGCCACCUCGAUUCCGAGGAAAUACUUCAAAACACCAAGAUCUUUCAUCUUAAAAAAAUCACUGAGAUAGGCUUUAAAGGUCUUAAGAGCAGCGGAAUCAUUCCCAGAGAUAAUAAGAUCGUCGACAUACACUAGCACAUUUAUUUGAACAUUGCCCGUAGUGUAAGUAAAAAGAGAAUAAUCAGAGUAGGAUUGUAAGAAACCAUAUCCUUUAAGAGCCGUGACCAACUUGGAAAACCAACAUCUCGGAGCCUGUUUCAACCCAUAAAGUGAUUUCCGUAACCUGCAAACCAAGUUCGGAUCGGAACGCUCAAAUCCUGGGGGUAGCUUCAUAUACACUUCCUCCUCAAGAUCUCCAUGUAAAAAGGCAUUGUGAACAUCCAUCUGAUGAAGUUCCCAAUUUUUCGAAGCCGCAAUAGCCAAGAAAGCACGCACCGUAGUCAUUUUGGCAACUGGAGAAAAUGUCUCAUGAUAAUCAAUACCAGCUUCUUGAUGAUUCCCCAAAACUACUAAUCUGGAUUUGAGCCUUUCAAUAUCACCGUUUGAGAAGUACUUGGUUCUGUAAACCCACUGACUUCCCAAAGCACGCUUACCCUUUGGAAGAGGUUCAAGAGUCCACGUACCAUUUUCCUCCAAAGCCCGAAUCUCCUCAUGCAUUGACUUUUGCCAACCGACAUCUUUCAUAGCCUCUUUAAAUGACUUAGGAUCAUUGCUCGAAAUAAUAGUUGCAAGAAACUUUCGAUAAUGUACAGAAAAAUUGUCACAAUUUAUAUAAUGUGCUAUGGGAUAAGGAGUACCUGAGGGAUGCUGUGGAGACGGAGUGGCGGGAGAUGGACUUUCAGCAACCACCGUAUGAGUAACAAAAUCUCGUAAUAGAACCGAAGGAAAUUUAUCCCUCAUUCCCUUUCCCAUAGGAGCAGACUGCCCAUUGCUUGAAUUGUCAAGUCCAAGUGAAUCAAGCCCAACAGUGGGAACAACUUCCGGCCCAGGUGAAAGAGGCGCUGAAGAAGCCUCGGGAUUUUGUGUUUGGGCUUGUGGGUUAGGCAAAUCAGCAUCAUCAUCGACAAAAUCAGCAAAAUCACUAUCAAUUUCAACAUUUAUCGUAGGCACAAUGUUUUCCGGAAUAAUAUUCACAGCACCCGGGUUACCAAACGGAAAAACAUCCUCAAAAAACUUGACAUCACGAGAAACAAAUAAUUCCUUGGUGUCCAAAUCAAACAACUUCCACCCCUUCUUUCCAAACGGGUAACCCAAAAACACACAUUUUCUACUUCUACUUGCAAAUUUGUCACCUUUGGAUUUUUUAUCAUGAGCAAAACUAAGACAACCAAAGGUGUGAAUUGCCGCAUAUGAAGGAGGGGUGCCAAAUAGGAUUUCAAAUGGUGUUUUAUUGUGUAACAAAGGAGAGGGAGUGCGGUUUAUUAAGUGAGCAGCGGCAAGAACACUUUCGCCCCAAAAAUAAAUAGGCAAAUUUGCUUGAAAGCGUAAUGCCCUCCCCACAUUUAAAAUAUGCUUGUGUUUUCUCUCAACCCUCCCAUUUUGUUGCGGAGUUCCCACACAAGAAGUUUGGAAUAAAAUACCAGUUGCAGAAAAAUAGUCAAGUAGGCAUUUAAAUUCCGUACCAUUAUCACUUUGAACAACUUUCACUGUUUGAGAAAAUUGUCGAUCUACCAUUGCAAUAAAAGACAUAAACAUCCGAAAAACUUCUGUUUUGUCGACCAACAAAUAAAUCCACACAGCUCUUGAGAAAUCAUCAACAAUAGUUAAAAAAUAACGAGCUCCACAAGAAGAGACAUGUUUAUAAGAGCCCUACAAAUCACAAUGUAUUUUCUCAAAAAUUCUAGUUGCCUUAUUGUCACUUAAAGGAAAUUUGUCUCUAGGAUGCUUAGCACGAAAACAUAUUUCACAAGCUUUGUUUAAACUACCCUUAAGAUUGCUAACUGGAGGAAGUAACUUCACUACUUUCUCUGAAGGAUGUCCCAUCCUUUUGUGCCACAACUCCAAAGUGGAUGCUGCGUUGUGGACAGAAACAUGUUGUACCGAAUCACCUUCAGCUCCACCGAAGUAGUAAAGUCCAUCUCGCCUAACUCCCGUUCCAAUCAGCUCCCUGGUGUGGUCCUGUAUAGCACACAUAUAAGAGUUAAAUUGGACAAUACAAUGUAAGUCAUCAGUCAAUUGUGAAACCGAAAGUAAAUUGCAAUUGAGUUUCGGCACAUAAAGAACGUUUUGAAGAGUGAUGUUAUUCGACAAACGAACGGAACCAGAUUGGGUCGCAACAACAGAUUCACCAUUAGGAAGGCCAACCGGACACUCAAACAACGCUAUAGUAUCAAAUAACCAAGAUAAAUCACCGGUCACGUGAUGAGUUGCCCCGGUGUCAAUGAUCCAUGACUUCGUGUCAAACUUACCAUUCAACCUGUCAUCCAGAACUUGAGCAUUACCAAUUAAGCCCGCAAGAGCUUUCCAUUGUUUGGGCAAAAAAGGUGAAUUCAUCUCCCUUUUAGGUGGCGACAAUGGUGGUUGUUCAUCGUCGCCGGCCAUUGUUUUAUUGUGUGUGCAUGUCAGCGCUCUGAUACCAUGUAAAGUGUGAUUAAAGGGUCAAAGCUUGACCCUAAUUGAUAUUCAUCCACGUAAAUAUAUAGUACAUCAAGCAAACCUAAUUAAGGGAAAACCGUGAGUUUAGGAAACAAUCCUAAACAAUAGCAACUACUUUCCUAGAAUACUUUCCUAGAAUAUAUCAUAAUAUCUCAAUCGUGAGUUUAGGAAACAAUCCUAAACAAUAGCAACUACUUUCCUAAUAUACUUUCCUAGAAUAUAUCAUAAUAUCUCAACAAUUUGGGACAACACUUGAAGGGUUGUAAAGGUUAAUUUAUACCUCAAAUCCAAGUCUACUACACUUUGAAGAGCUUUGGUGAAAGAAGCUCUUAUACUAGUGGAAACACAUCAAACUUGUGAAGAUGUUAAAAAAAAAAGAGACCCAACAUGUAGCGAACCAAACAUGGCACAUGAUUUUUCUUUUUUCCAUUUUUUUCCUCCUCUUUAUUACCUUCAAGUCAAACUACCUUUAACCUUUUUUUUGUAUUAUUAUUAUGCUAGCUACACCUUGUUUCAUGAAACUUUUUUAAUUUCAUUUUUUUAACUCUUUCAUCUUCUCAUAUUUAUUAAUUUUAAUUACUUAUGGUCAUUUUAAACAUAAAACAAUAAUAUAACAAAUAAUUAAUGAAAAUAAAUUUAAUAUAAACAUAAAUAUAUAAUAAACAAAUUUAGAUGUUUACAACAUAAAAUUUUAUAUAUUUAUGUUAAAUAAAAUGUUUAUUUAUUUGAUUAAUCUUAUCACAUAUAGAUUAAAUAAAUAUGCCUUAUCAUAUAAAAAAAUUAAAUUUUAAUUUGAAAAUUAGAGUCAAUAAUCAUAAUUUUAGUUUUUUACUUAUGGUUUGAACUUUACCAUGAUUCUAACUUUUUUGUUUGGUUAAAAUAUUUAAUUUUUUAUUUAUAUAAAAUAAAAACUUGACUAUAGUUUUAAUCCUUUGUUUAGUUAAAAUUUUUAAUUUUCUAUUUAUAAAAUAUAAAAUAUAAAAUAUUUUUCAUAAAAAAAAUUGUAUUUGAUAAUUUGUAUUAAUUUUUUCUUAAUUUUAUUAGGAAUUAAAAUUUUUGCAAAUUGAAGUUGCACACCUUUCAAGUUCAUAGGAAAAGAAAAAUAAUGCAUUACACACCUCAGAAGUUAUACAUCACUCAAAUUGUGCACUCUUAUUCAUUCAAAUUGUUGCGUAUCUUUCCCAUCAUAUAUCUUUUUCACUUGUAAUAUUAUAGAUUGUAGGCUUGGAAUCUAUCACCAUAAUUGGUGAAAUCCACCACUAUUUAUUUAAUAAUAAAAAUAUGUUGUGUACUUUCCUUUUUCCCUAGCUAAACUAGGCAUUCCUUUUUUAGUGUUCCAAAGAGUUACAAAUGAAUCACUAUCCUUAGCCUGUUAUCUCAUUCCCUUUCUUGUGCUUUCCUUAUUUAGUGUAACCUUUAAUUUUCAUAUGAACAUCCUUCUAGUCUUUGAGAAUCCAUUUACCUAUCCCAAUGAAAUGUGGUAAGUUCUCGAAUAUUACAUGAAUCUUGGUGUUCAUAAUAGUCCUAAAGGCAACUUAUCCAAUGGACUUGCCUUUAUUUCCAAAUAAUCCUUACAACCUUAAAUCAAAUCAUAGACCAUAACAAUAGUCAUGUGUUACUAUUACAACACAUUACAAGUACAAGACAUUUGGUCUUCUGGUCCUUCUAAUGUUGGUUUUGAUAUACCAUUAUUUCUUCUUAGUAGGUUAGUUCAUAAUAAAUAACUAGUUCUGCCUAAAUUAGCUUCUUUGCAACUAAUACUAUAUCCAGGCCAUAUUUCAAUCUAUGAUUAGACAUAGCUCAAAAAUGAUAGUAGAGGUGAUGAGCUUAAAGACAUGAAACUAGUAAAAAAUAAAAUAAUUCUAUAUAAAGUUCUUUUUAAAUUUAAUUAGAUAUAUACUUAGGGAGAUGGAAUGAAACACCGCAAUACCCAAAUUUGUUCCUCUGUUUUUUCAAAAAAAAAAAUCUUAAACAUAUCCUUUUAACUUAUUUAUCUUCAUUCCAAACUCAUCAUAUUAGUGAUAGACAUUUAAAAAACUUGUCACAUUAUCAAAUUUUACAUAUAUUAUCUUAUCUCAGGUUAUUGAAUCAGACAAUCAAACAUAGCGUAUUGAUGAUUGAAUUGUAGAAUUAAAAUAAAAUAAGCAUAAUCAAAUCUUAUUUUAGCUGCCAUUUAUCAAUUACACAUUUCAACCAUAGAACAGUUCAACCAUGCUCCUAAGAAGAUGUCUAUUUUAGACAACUAGACCAUAGGAGAUAAUAAUUUUUUUUUGUCUGAGUCUUUUUAUGUCCCAUGGAGCAUUAGAUCACAACAGUAUUUCUUGUAUGGACAUAUACCAAAAGUGGUUGCUAUUUAUAAAACAUUAAUUAUUUUUAAUAUCUAAUUAUUAUUUUUUAUUUAUGAAGUAAAAUAAUAAAAAUAAUGAUAAAAGGGAAGUGCACGCUUAGGAUGCUGACAUCACCUUAUUUAAUUAAAUAAAAAUAUGUUUUUAUAUUCCCAUUUAAAAAUAUUUGUAAAAUGAAAUAUCAUUUUUCAUAUUUAAAAUCAUAUCAGUAUCUUUCACUUACCUUUCUUCUGAAUGGAUGUAUGAUAAUGAAAUUACUUAAAAUAUAUGCUGACGGUUCCGUGGAAGGUAGGAUUUGUGGGUUGAUUUUCCAAAUUUGGGAGUCCAAAUAACGGUUUCUGUCCUCUACAAUAAAAAAAAAUAGAAAAACACGUUGAACAGUUAAAAAAAUAUUUUUUAUUUGUUAUUUUAUAUUCUUAAAAAUAAAAGUAAAAGGGAUAUUUUGAAUUGUUUUCAAUUAUUUUUUUUUAAGUUUAUUUUUAAAAAUAAUUAUACACCAUGUAAAAUUAUUGAAAACAAAACAUUAAAUAUAAAAAUUAUUUUUAAAAAUAUUAAAAACACAUUAAAAGUACUUUAGAUUUGGAAACAAACUUUUAUUGUACAAAAUUUUAGACAACAAUUUUCAAAAAAUUUUAAAACUAUUUUCAAACACAGUGAAUUUGUUAACAAAUUUAUUAAAUAAUUUAGAACUCAAAAGCUAAGGUAAUUAUUAUUAAAAUCUUAUGAAUUAAAACUUAUUUAAAAUGAUUUUAUUAUUUCUUUUCUAAACUUAAUUACAUUUUUAUAAAAAAAUUUAUUAGAUAAAUGAAUUUUAAAUUAAACUAUUAAUUAAUAAAAAUAGAUAUAAAUUAUUUUAAUGUCUAAUUAUUAUUUAUUAUAAAGUAAAAUAAUAAAAAUAAUGAUAAAAGUUUGACCCACAUGAGGAGAUAAAACGUAGACACGAUGUUAUUUAUUUUCCUCAUGCUUACGACACAAUGAACAUAUUAGCCAUUCAUGGCUGAAAUUUUUUUAUUUUAUUUUAUUUAAAGUAUUAAAAUAUUAUUUUAAAAGAAUAUUAUAAAAAUUAUUAGUUUGUAAUGCAUGGAGAAUUAUGCCAGAGAUGUUAUUAAAUAUCAAGAAUUCUACUAAAAAAAUUAUUAAAUAUUGAGAAUUGUGAAACCCAUGUGGUUAUUUCUAAUAAUUAAAAAAAAAAAAUGGAAGAAGGAUUUUUUUUUUUUCUUUCAACCUCAAUGCCCUCAGUUAUAAAUCACACACUGCCUGUGAACCCACAACUCCAUCACUCACUUUACACAGCAAGCAAGUUUUGGCAACCACCAAGCCAUCGUCUCCCCUAACCCCAACUUUCACACCCACCAUCACACCGUCGAAAACCGUCUCCCUCAGGAACCCAAUCAUUACUAGAAUUCGAAUCGCCAACCUCCACAAGCUUGUUGAUUUUGAGUCAACUAGAGUCAGAUUCAUCCAACUUAAUGGAAGUUAGACGAACUUCCUCCCUUCUUUGUGUCUUUCAGAGAAUCCGCCCAACAGUAGUAAGACUAGGUGAACUCCUUUCCUGCACAAAAGGUGUCCAAACGGAUGGUUCGGGCACUCCCCUUCGAAGCUUAAGUGAGGCAAGAAUAGGUCAAGCUGCUUAGUGAGAGAGAAGAUAUGCGUAUGUGUGUGCGUACCCUAUUUAUGCUUUUUGAAGGGUUUAUAUAGUGCUGAUGAGAAUGUCAUUAUAGUAUUGACUAUGCAUUUUGACUUUCUUCUAUAAUUAUGAUUGUCCUACAGGCGGAUGAGCAAUCAUCACAAUUUUGGGCAAUUGGCAAGUGUCAUCAGUUGUCAUGUCAUGAUCUUGGACUAUGCAAUCGCUUAUCCCCUCAACAUGUUGAUGGUUUAGGGUUAUGUGCAACAAUUAAUUGACAUGGACUUGAGGGCUAGAAGAGGUCCCAUCAGCCGUUCACAUGUCUGGUGUGAAUGAUCACGCAUGUCAAUGAGUCUUAAAGACUUGAUUGGACAGUCCUAUCUGUUUGGGGGGUCCGACUUCCUCUUGUCAUCUGGCCUUAUAGGGAAAAAAGGUAUUCUUAUGCCUGGUGUUAGGCGGAACUGGUUAUGAUCUGAACAGAAUGAUCCAGAUAGGUUGUGUGCCUGUGUUAAACGGUCAAGGUAUCUUGGUUGAAAAAGGGACAAAUACAGAGAAGCCCCCCACAAAGCUCAUGUACCAAAUCGUCAUCUUCAAGCGUCUUACCCACAAGUUUUCUACCAUUGAGUCAUCCCCCUCUGCCACUCUUCAAUUCCCCACCCUUCCAAUCCUUCACCGUCUUCUUCCUUGAAGUCU